AAUCCAUAGGUUAAUGAGGCGAACCGGGGGAACUGAAACAUCUAAGUACCCCGAGGAAAAGAAAUCAACCGAGAUUCCCCCAGUAGCGGCGAGCGAACGGGGAGGAGCCCAGAGCCUGAAUCAGCAUGUGUGUUAGUGGAAGCGUCUGGAAAGGCGCGCGAUACAGGGUGACAGCCCCGUACACAAAAGCGCAUGUGCUGUGAGCUCGAUGAGUAGGGCGGGACACGUGGUAUCCUGUCUGAAUAUGGGGGGACCAUCCUCCAAGGCUAAAUACUCCUGACUGACCGAUAGUGAACCAGUACCGUGAGGGAAAGGCGAAAAGAACCCCGGCGAGGGGAGUGAAAAAGAACCUGAAACCGUGUACGUACAAGCAGUGGGAGCACCCUUUGGGUGUGACUGCGUACCUUUUGUAUAAUGGGUCAGCGACUUAUAUUCUGUAGCAAGGUUAACCGAAUAGGGGAGCCGGAGGGAAACCGAGUCUUAAUUGGGCGUUAAGUUGCAGGGUAUAGACCCGAAACCCGGUGAUCUAGCCAUGGGCAGGUUGAAGGUUGGGUAACACUAACUGGAGGACCGAACCGACUAAUGUUGAAAAAUUAGCGGAUGACCUGUGGCUGGGGGUGAAAGGCCAAUCAAACCGGGAGAUAGCUGGUUCUCCCCGAAAGCUAUUUAGGUAGCGCCUCGUGAAUUCAUCUCCGGGGGUAGAGCACUGUUUCGGCUAGGGGGCCAUCCCGGCUUACCAACCCGAUGCAAACUGCGAAUACCGGAGAAUGUUAUCACGGGAGACACACGGCGGGUGCUAACGUCCGUCGUGAAGAGGGAAACAACCCAGACCGCCAGCUAAGGUCCCAAAGUCAUGGUUAAGUGGGAAACGAUGUGGGAAGGCCCAGACAGCCAGGAUGUUGGCUUAGAAGCAGCCAUCAUUUAAAGAAAGCGUAAUAGCUCACUGGUCGAGUCGGCCUGCGCGGAAGAUGUAACGGGGCUAAACCAUGCACCGAAGCUGCGGCAGCGAACGUAUCACUUAAAGCGAUUCAGCGGGUUACGAUUGACGGAGCGAAGCGACGUCAAAGCGUAUACAAAGUCGAGUCGGUUUAAGGAUACGUUCGUUGGGUAGGGGAGCGUUCUGUAAGCCUGUGAAGGUGGCCUGUGAGGGUUGCUGGAGGUAUCAGAAGUGCGAAUGCUGACAUAAGUAACGAUAAAGCGGGUGAAAAGCCCGCUCGCCGGAAGACCAAGGGUUCCUGUCCAACGUUAAUCGGGGCAGGGUGAGUCGACCCCUAAGGCGAGGCCGAAAGGCGUAGUCGAUGGGAAACGGGUUAAUAUUCCCGUACUUGGUGUUACUGCGAAGGGGGGACGGAGAAGGCUAUGUUGGCCGGGCGACGGUUGUCCCGGUUUAAGCGUGUAGGCUGGUUUUCCAGGCAAAUCCGGAAAAUCAAGGCUGAGGCGUGAUGACGAGGCACUACGGUGCUGAAGCAACAAAUGCCCUGCUUCCAGGAAAAGCCUCUAAGCAUCAGGUAACAUCAAAUCGUACCCCAAACCGACACAGGUGGUCAGGUAGAGAAUACCAAGGCGCUUGAGAGAACUCGGGUGAAGGAACUAGGCAAAAUGGUGCCGUAACUUCGGGAGAAGGCACGCUGACACGUAGGUGAAGUGAUUUACUCACGGAGCUGAAGUCAGUCGAAGAUACCAGCUGGCUGCAACUGUUUAUUAAAAACACAGCACUGUGCAAACACGAAAGUGGACGUAUACGGUGUGACGCCUGCCCGGUGCCGGAAGGUUAAUUGAUGGGGUCAGCGCAAGCGAAGCUCCUGAUCGAAGCCCCGGUAAACGGCGGCCGUAACUAUAACGGUCCUAAGGUAGCGAAAUUCCUUGUCGGGUAAGUUCCGACCUGCACGAAUGGCGUAAUGAUGGCCAGGCUGUCUCCACCCGAGACUCAGUGAAAUUGAACUCGCUGUGAAGAUGCAGUGUACCCGCGGCAAGACGGAAAGACCCCGUGAACCUUUACUAUAGCUUGACACUGAACAUUGAGCCUUGAUGUGUAG
Molecule: ribosomal RNA, 2036 nt
Filed under: Salmonella enterica subsp. enterica serovar Enteritidis
Lineage: Bacteria; Pseudomonadati; Pseudomonadota; Gammaproteobacteria; Enterobacterales; Enterobacteriaceae
Description: partial 23S ribosomal RNA
Rfam family: Bacterial large subunit ribosomal RNA
Source: RNAcentral